AAGUCGUAACAAGGUUUCCGUAGGUGAACCUGCGGAAGGAUCAUUAAUGAAUUUUUAAAGGGAGUUGUAAUUGAUGCUGGUCUUUACUGACAUGUGCUCGUUCUCUCUCUUAAAUCCUUUAUAACACACCUGUGCACUUGUUUAUUAGAAUCAGAGUUGGUUCCCUAUUAAGGGGAGUGGCUUUGCUUUUAUUAAUCAUUAACAUACUCUUAUUAUUAACUAUGAAUGUUUAUCAAGUCGAAAGGCUUUUAAAUUAUAAUACAACUUUUAACAACGGAUCUCUUGGCUCUC
RNAcentral lists this unclassified non-coding RNA (291 nucleotides) under air metagenome. Its description in RNAcentral is "partial contains small subunit ribosomal RNA, internal transcribed spacer 1, and 5.8S ribosomal RNA". The stretch from base 1 to 46 matches the Rfam family "Eukaryotic small subunit ribosomal RNA", at positions 1786 to 1831 of the family's 1831-position model. The record is from RNAcentral.